UACGUAGGGUGCGAGCGUUAAUCGGAAUUACUGGGCGUAAAGCGUGCGCAGGCGGUUCGGUAAGUCCGAUGUGAAAGCCCCGGGCUCAACCUGGGAAUGGCAUUGGAAACUGGCGGGCUGGAGUGUGGCAGAGGGGGGUGGAAUUCCGCGUGUAGCAGUGAAAUGCGUAGAGAUGCGGAGGAACACCGAUGGCGAAGGCAGCCCCCUGGGCUGACACUGACGCUCAGGCACGAAAGCGUGGGGAGCAAACAGG
RNAcentral lists this ribosomal RNA (253 nucleotides) under uncultured bacterium. RNAcentral's name for it is "partial 16S ribosomal RNA". It matches the Rfam family "Bacterial small subunit ribosomal RNA", at positions 524 to 776 of the family's 1533-position model. The record is from RNAcentral.